CAAGUCGUGGGGCAGCGCGGGUAGCAAUACCUGGCGGCGACCGGCAAACGGGUGCGGAACACGUACGCAACCUUCCUUUAAGCGGGGAAUAGCCCAGGGAAACUUGGAUUAAUACCCCAUAAGACAGUGGAGUGGCAUCACUCAGCUGUUAAAGCUCCGGCACUUAAAGAUGGGCGUGCGGCUGAUUAGGUAGUUGGCGGGGUAAUGGCCCACCAAGCCGACGAUCAGUAACUGGUGUGAGAGCACGACCAGUCACACGGGCACUGAGACACGGGCCCGACUCCUACGGGAGGCAGCAGUAAGGAAUAUUGGUCAAUGGACGCAAGUCUGAACCAGCCAUGCCGCGUGGAGGAUGAAGGCCCUCUGGGUUGUAAACUUCUUUUAUUGGGGAAGAAACCGGACUUUUCUAAGGCCGUUGACGGUACCCAACGAAUAAGCACCGGCUAACUCCGUGCCAGCAGCCGCGGUAAUACGGAGGGUGCAAGCGUUAUCCGGAUUCACUGGGUUUAAAGGGUGCGUAGGUGGGCAGGUAAGUCAGUGGUGAAAUCUCCGGGCUUAACCCGGAAACUGCCGUUGAUACUAUCUGUCUUGAAUGUAGUGGAGGUGAGCGGAAUAUGUCAUGUAGCGGUGAAAUGCUUAGAUAUGACAUAGAACAUCGAUUGCGAAGGCAGCUCGCUACACUAUUAUUGACACUGAGGCACGAAAGCGUGGGGAUCAAACAGGAUUAGAUACCCUGGUAGUCCACGCCCUAAACGAUGGAUACUCGACAUCAGCGAUACACUGUUGGUGUCUGAGCGAAAGCAUUAAGUAUCCCACCUGGGAAGUACGACCGCAAGGUU
RNAcentral lists this ribosomal RNA (839 nucleotides) under uncultured Flavobacteriia bacterium. Its description in RNAcentral is "bacterial SSU rRNA". It matches the Rfam family "Bacterial small subunit ribosomal RNA", at positions 58 to 895 of the family's 1533-position model. Lineage: Bacteria; Pseudomonadati; Bacteroidota; Flavobacteriia. The record is from RNAcentral.